Molecule: long non-coding RNA, 2590 nt
Filed under: Homo sapiens (human)
Lineage: Eukaryota; Metazoa; Chordata; Mammalia; Primates; Hominidae
Description: non-protein coding TTTY9B:1
Source: RNAcentral
GUUUUUGUAUGCAUUUAUUAAAAUAAUUAGCAGAAUAUCAUCAAGCUAAAAAGAGUUGUAACAUGGAAACACAGACAACUUUGCCAUUUAUCAGAGAUUCUCUAGCUGGGAAGUUUCAGCUUAUUGAUGAUCAGUUUGCAGAUGCUUACUCUCAGCAUAUCAAGGGUGAGUCUUUAGAAAUAAAGCUAAAUGAAUAUGAGAGAGAAAUAAAAGAGCAAGUUCAGGCAGAAAUGUGUCAAAAUAUAAACUUCUGUUAAGCUGCUGAGAUAGCAAAAAUUAAAAUAAAGCAAAAGGAAAGUAUGGGAAAAAUUAACUGUGUUCAGGAAAGAUUUUGAGAAGGCUUGUCAGUCGGAGCCUGAAGCCAUCAUUUUUUGGGAAAAGAGUAUCCUUGAGAGAAUUCAAAAGCAUCAAGAAAUUGAAAUAAAGAGAAUUUAUGGCCACAGGCAAAUUUAAGUAAAAGCCAUGGAUUUACUAAGAGGAAGAGAAGCAGUGAUGAAGCAGAGGGUUGAAGCUUUUGAAUUGAACCCAGAAGCCCCAGGAAGAAAAACAUAACACCAUGACUGAGGCACUUAGAAGGCAGGAGCGAAUAUAAGGAGUCUUGAGGAGACCUAUGACCAAACUGCUGAAGUACAUGUUUGACUGUUUUGAAGUGACAACUUGAGCUAAAGGAUGACUAUAUCAUUAGUACUAAUCGACUAAUUGAAGGUGAAAGGAAGAAAUAAUGUUGAGUUAGAGUGUGUCAAAACCCAGUCUUGCCAAUAACAAAACAAAACCUUAUGCUGAAUGAAAAGGCUAAAAGGAUGAGUAAUUAUUCACUACUUAAAAGAGAGUAGAAAUGAAAACUUGCAUGUCCUAAACCGUCUAGAUCAGCUGGCUCAUGAAAUUGUGGUAUUUCAGAAAGAACUGCAGAAAGCAGAAAAUGCUAUCAUAGCUGAGCAUGAGGAGUUCAAGAACCACAGGCCAGCUCUGCAAUACAACUGCAACAUGCAAUUGUGCAUUCUGCCUGGCUGAAGGCCCAGAUACUAGAUUACGAAGCUUCCAUGACAAAGUUAACUAUUCAUGUGGCUGAUUUAAAAUUGCAACUGAAGCAAACUCAGACGGACGUAGAGAAUAAAGUAUACUCCAAUCCAAAACAGUCUCUGAACAAUCAUUCUGUCAGUGGAUUAAUAAGUGGCAAUAUGGUACCCUGCAAUGAUGUUAUACAUCAGGCUUUCUUGAACAAUUCUUUUAGACAGAAAAGAGUUCUAGCAGGUAUGGUUACAUCAAGGAUCCCAAAUUAUCCAAAUGGAGGUGUAGAAGGUAGUCCUUCCAGUUCUGACCUUGAGUUUGUAGUUAAUACUAAGCAAGGGUCAAAGAGCUUAAGCAAGAGUCAAAGAGCUUAAGCAAGAGGCCAGACACUUGGAAGAGCCUUUCAGAAGUUGCCAUCAGAGAGUCAUUAACAUGACUGCCAAAAGCCCACUACCAGCAAAGAGCUCACCAUCUCUGCACUUGCUGAAAGCUUUCAAAAACAUUACUUCCAGUUCUCCAGAAAGACAUAUAUUUGCAGAGGACAGAGUUGUCUCUGAGCAACCUCAAGUGCAAACACUUAACGAAUAAAGGAAUGGCACCUUGGAAGCACUCACAGGUAGUGCAGCCUCCAGGCUACACAGGCACACUUCCUCCAGACAACGCUAAUCCACACCGUUUCCAAAAGCAAAAAGAAACCUUAAAAGAGAAAUGUAUCUGGAAGCCUGGGCAGAUCACAUGGUGCUUCCCCCAGGCCUUGUUCUGACAGAAUGCCCCAGCAAUCACUCACUGAAUCAAGGCACAACCUCUCCAUCCCUACAGACCAGAAGUUGUGUCUUUCCCAGAGACAGAUUGAACUUCAAGGUAAAAGUGAAUUUUCAGAUGCGGACAAGCUAACUUCUAAGGAUUAUGAGUAAUUCGACUCAUCUUUUAAAUAUGCAGGAAACGUGCCCGGGCAUCUUGAAAUGGAUGAGUUCUCUUCUGGAGAUAUGUCUCAUGUGUACGCAUAUCUGGAGAUAUGCCUCUUGUGGGUGCUGCUGCAGCUGCUGUGCCCAUCUCAUAUCAAUACCCAAGUAUAGUUCAGAAACCAAUUGAGGAACAAAAGCAAGAAGAAAAAAUAUGGCAACAGCAAGUGAAAGAACAAAGGCAGAGAAGAAAAACGGCAGAGUAACCUACAUUUUAGCAAGGGAACAAAGGGAGCUAGAAAAUCUAGAUCACAAAAGGAGCUCAAGAAAGGUGGUUCAGGAAGGCUCCCUAUAGACAUGCUUCAAUCUACGGAAAAAGUUGAAAUUUUAACAGGCUUUUCUCAUGACGAACCAGAUGACUCUUGGUAACCAGGUUUGCUCCCCAGCUUCUAAUUUCAAUAUGAUGAGAAGUUACAUAACAUUUACUCCUUUGUAAAGGUUUCUCUGUCAUCAGACAAAACUCUGAAUAGAAACCGGUGGGUAAUCCAGUGUACUGGUUUUUCCUAAUGUAUUUGGUACUAUAGUGUAUGAACCGAGAAUAAUCGAGUCAAGUGAAACCCCCUUUUCCAGUCAUAAAAUGUCUCAUUCAUUAUACUAAAAGGAGCUGUUCUUUUAAAAAA